Long non-coding RNA from Saccostrea cuccullata (small rock oyster), 641 nucleotides. RefSeq lists it as uncharacterized. The record is from RefSeq and is a predicted model, not a curated record. The transcript has 3 exons. NCBI's taxonomy places the organism in Eukaryota, Metazoa, Mollusca, Bivalvia, Ostreida, Ostreidae.
AACAGCAAAUUUGCAGUAAUCUAUAAGAAAUCUACAACCACAUUAAAGCUUAUCAACAUAAAAUAUAUAUUAAACAGUAUUUGUCCUAGAAGAAUCAAGAAAAAAAUCUGCAGGCAACUAAAGCAUUUAUAUAUGAUAACUGAUUUAAAUCCAUAAUUAUCUGUCUUUUUUGCUUCAAAUUACCUCCCUUUGGUAUAGCUCUCUAACAUAGGAGGAAUAAACGGUAGUUUGCUUACAUUGUUUUCAAUAACAGUGUACAGAAGACUAGAAGAAAAUUACAAACUUGGAGCAGUCUGAGCCUCAGUUUUGGCGUUUUCAUGAGUCUUGAUUACGAAUGAAAUUCGCCACUUUGAAGCCAGACUCGGAAAGAAGCAGAAACAGAAUUGGAUGAGCUGAUAUAGAAUUAGACAGGAAAAACGUAUUAUCAUUAUGAGAAUACUUCAUUACAGUACAGACCAUUGAUGCUGGAAGUGAGUGGAUAGUGUUACCGGAGACUCAGGAAUCCAGAAAAUAGAUCCAUAAAUUGUACAGUGUAUUCAUGAAAGUGGAUCAAAUAAAAAUGUUCAAUCCAAAAGUAACAUUCUUUGUUUGUCUGUUAGCAUUUUUUUAUUGAUGUAAAUCUAACAAGCUAAUUCAGAGAA